RNAcentral lists this ribosomal RNA (253 nucleotides) under uncultured bacterium. Its description in RNAcentral is "partial 16S ribosomal RNA". It matches the Rfam family "Bacterial small subunit ribosomal RNA", at positions 524 to 776 of the family's 1533-position model. The record is from RNAcentral.
UACGUAGGGGGCCAGCGUUGUCCGGAUUUAUUGGGCGUAAAGAGCGUGUAGGCGGCCAGGUAGGUCUGGUGUGAAAACUCGAGGCUCAACCUCGAGAUGUCAUCGGAAACCAUCUGGCUAGAGUCCGGAAGAGGAGAUUGGAAUUCCUGGUGUAGCGGUGAAAUGCGCAGAUAUCAGGAAGAACACCUAUGGCGAAGGCAGCUCUCUGGGACGGUACUGACGCUGAGACGCGAAAGCGUGGGGAGCGAACAGG